UCAAAGCUUGUCAGCAGCACUCUGUGGAGCAAAACUCCUUAUUUGCUAUGAAUUUGUCUUUCUCUUUUUAUUCAGGAUGACACUCACAGACACUCAGGGAAGAAAAGGGCUCAGUUCACACUAGGACAUGCUGAAGUACAAAAUUAAGUGCAGUUAAGAACAAAGACAUUCAUCAGCUGCUCUCAGCUGUUCUCCUCAGAGCUGGAUGUUGCUCCAGAGCUGACUUGUAGGUUGUUCCUUAAGUUAUGCUCUCGUUCUACCUGUGGCUUUAGGACUGGGCAAGGCACUGGCAAACUGCUUGCAUCAUUUUACGGGAAACGGCUUCACAGUUUCAGGAUCCUUACAGAAAUACAUCAGCUCUAAAGCUUCUAUUGCCCUCCUGAUCCAGCCCAGAGAAUUAAGAAGCACUGAGGAAGAAAGGAAAACUAACAGACUAAAAUAGGCUUGUGUGCAAAUUGUUACAGAGGACAGUCAUACAGGUCUAAUUUCCUUAAGAAACUAGACAAAAGUGCUGUAUUUAUACUUGGUAUAAUUUUAUAGCUGACAUUGCACUUCUGACUACCUGUAGUAAGGAUAAAAUUAAUACUAUUCUAAUUUACUAAGUCUGUGCCCCUCUCUUCCCCUCCCCAAAGUCUUCCUUUGUUAUUUAAUAAUAAUAAAUACAUAAAUAAAUAAAUAAAAAUCCACUUAUAAACAUGGUACUGCUUAGAGAAAAAACAUGUUUUUUCCCCUUUCAUUUUCCCCAACUUUCUUACACAAGAAAAUUUCCAUUAGUUAGAGGGAAAUUGUUCAAAAAUAGGCUGUACCAAAAAAUUGAUAUUUCUCUUUUCACUAAGAAAGCAUCCAGAACAUGUUAAUUCCACCUAGACUGUCUUUGUCGUUUAACAUUUGAAUAAAGUGGACAAAAUUGUCAGAGCGUGGAGAUCUAGCAAACAUGAAUCCACUUGUCUUUGAUGGAUAAACUCAUCUGAAUGACAGCACUUCUGGUCGUCCCGGUCAAUCCCCUGAGAUAUUGCAUUUCUGUGUUCUAAUUCUUGUUCUUUAAUAACCUUUUGAACUUGGAUAGAUAUCCCUAGUUCUUCCACUGUGGCCUACAAGAAUAGGUAGCUGGAAUGCUAUUCCAGUGUUUAACAGGAACUAUCUGUUACUGGAAACUUGAUUAUUUCUGGGUUGCUGUUUAGCAACUGUUUAAGAGAGAAAAGUGAAUGGAGAUUCAGUGACCUUAUAUGAUCUGGACUUCUUUUCCUUAAAAGACAAAAUAUCAAAAAUCGUAGUUCUGGCUACUGAUAGGGGGAAAUGCAGAAUAGCACUGUCUGCUUUUCUUCCACUGAAGUUCUUGACUUAGUCUUACUGUGUUUCUGAGUAAGGAGCAAAGUAGCUAAGCAGCCCUGAGCAUAUUAGUUAGUGGUUUGAAAGUUUGACAGAAGAGCUUGCUGUCUAUUUGUUAAUCCUUAUUUUCAAAAGCUUUUUAUGCAGCCGUUGUGAACAACACACCCAAAGCAACUGGGGAGAGAACAGCAUGGCUCUUACCAGGUCUCUAAAUUUGGAGACAAAUUUUGUUUUAAACAAUAUUUUGUAUUAGCAAAGGAAAAAAAGUGUUUCUGGUCUGAAAUUUUAUAUGGCAACUUUCACCUCAAGAUAAUGAAAACAAGCUGAGCUAUAAAAUCUUCAAAACUGGGGUUUAUGGAAAGGCUGACAAAUCCUUUACUGGAGCAAUGUGGCUGGGAGCACUUUAAAAGAUUCUCAGGGAGCAUUAUUGAUCACGAUCAUGCACUUCCAAGGUCUGGGAGCUGGGAGGCUGCAGGCAGAAGACCCGCUGUUUCCAAUUAGUGUGCUGGCCCAGAGGCAUGUCCAGCAGACAAUGCCUCAUUAGCAGCCAGCCCUUGGCUUCCUGGGGUCACAGGGGCAGCCUGAAGGCCUUACACUUUUUUCUUUGCCCUCCAAGCAUAGUGUGUUAUGUGGAGUCCCAUGAUGGGCCAUGCCAGUUCUAGCACAGGCUCUUGGUAGUAUUCCCAUGGGCAAGAAGAAUCAAAGGAAAAAAAACUAACCAAUUUUGUGUUUUCUCUGUCUGUUUGCUGUAAUUAAGCAUCACACAUAGAUCACAUAAAAGGAAUCAGCUUUUAGUGGGAAGAUAUGGCCUCAUUUCCCGACCUCUCCAUUUCGAGUUUCGGAACAAAGCCAUCUGACAUUGGAAGCACCAGCAAGAGUCUAUGAGUGGAUGUCAGGAAAUUCACAGCAAUGUUUUUUGCUGCUUAACGAGCAGCACUGCUGCUUGUAAAGAUGUGAGGUAAAAUGCUGGCCCCACUGAAUCUCUGGCAAACCUCCUGCAGUUUUCAGUGGGGCCAGGAUUUUACCCUGACUCUUGCAAGCCAUUUGUUGUAUGAGGUUUUAAUGGGUCCACUCCUGCACAGACUACUCUCGUAGGAAAGGGUUAGCUAGAUUGGCUCAGAUACUACACAGUUUAAAACUUAUAGGAAAGCUAUUUUGUAGUGAAAUUAAGGGACUAUAAAAGGAAUUUGGCUUUAGACAACUUGCUUCUGUUUGGAUUUGGAUUAGACUGCAAUCUCCUUGUCUGUUUUUAGCGUAUACGUCCCUGCCAGCAUCAAUAAUCUAUUUUCCUUAGUACAAGUGAAAUACUCUAAUAGCUCAGAGGUGUAGUCUGGUAUCCAAUGCUGCUCCGGAUUUCUUCUUUUGUUUAAGAUUUGGGCUACAAAUAGUCAGAGGCUGCAAGCUGCUCUUUAGUGUUUAUGUGCUGCCAUCAGCCAAUUCAUUGAUAUGUGGGACGACAUACUCCUUCCCUCCUGUUACUCUACUUCCAGUCAUUUCUAUAUUUUUCCUGACCCCCCUGAUAUAACCCAACUCCCCAGGCUCUUUCUCUGCCCAUGCAGUCCCUCCCACCUCAAUCUCAGCAUUAAUUUACACUUGGCUUGAUUGUAUUUUUGUUGGCAAAAUUUUCAUCCUGUCCACCAGCAUAUUAAUCCUCGAGCACUUCCUUGAACUUUUCAGGUUCAUACCUCUCCUUUCCCCACCUACUCCAAGGUAAAUAAAUCAGAACUUUAAGUAGUGCACAUCACAUUUAUCAUUUUACUUCAGGUCAAUGUCAUGUGCAAGUUAAGCUCAGCAAGGUUAGAGGCUGGAGGUGAAGACAACAGAGAAAGCCUAGAGGAAAAAGGCAGGGGUAGGGUAGCCAUUGCUUCAGAUGAACCCAUUAAAGAUCUAGUGGUAACAUUAGGAGAAUCUGUUCUUGGGAGAGCCAUGUUCUUACUGGCAUUUGCUGCUGCCUCAGGGGUCUGUGUGCUGCUGCAUCUUGCCAAGGCAUGGCUCAGCUUGCACUCCCUGAACAGUUCAAUGCUGAAGCUUAAUUUCUUUCCUCUGAAGGUGUCUCC
Molecule: non-coding RNA, 3386 nt
Organism: Meleagris gallopavo (turkey)
Lineage: Eukaryota; Metazoa; Chordata; Aves; Galliformes; Phasianidae
Source: RefSeq, a predicted model, not a curated record